Molecule: ribosomal RNA, 253 nt
Filed under: uncultured bacterium
Lineage: Bacteria
Description: partial 16S ribosomal RNA
Rfam family: Bacterial small subunit ribosomal RNA
Source: RNAcentral
GACAGAGGUGCCAAGCGUUAGGCGGAAUCACUGGGCUUAAAGCGUGUGUAGGCGGAUUCCUAAGUACCUUGUGAAAUCCCACGGCUUACCCGUGGAACUGCUCGGUAUACUGGUUGUCUUGAGCCACCUAGGGGCGAGUGGAACAAAUGGUGGAGCGGUGAAAUGCGUAGAUAUCAUUUGGAACGCCAAUGGUGAAAACAACUCGCUGGGGGUGUGCUGACGCUGAGACACGAAAGCCAGGGGAGCAAACGGG